RNAcentral lists this ribosomal RNA (438 nucleotides) under Chaetoceros affinis. RNAcentral's name for it is "partial Bacterial small subunit ribosomal RNA". It matches the Rfam family "Bacterial small subunit ribosomal RNA", at positions 1051 to 1488 of the family's 1533-position model. The record is from RNAcentral. Lineage: Eukaryota; Bacillariophyta; Thalassiosirophyceae; Chaetocerotales; Chaetocerotaceae.
GUCGUCAGCUCGUGUCGUGAGAUGUUGGGUUAAGUCCCGUAACGAGCGCAACCCUUGUCCUUAGUUACCAGCACGUAAUGGUGGGCACUCUAAGGAGACUGCCGGUGACAAACCGGAGGAAGGUGGGGAUGACGUCAAGUCCUCAUGGCCCUUAUAGGUGGGGCUACACACGUCAUACAAUGGCUGGUACAGAGGGUUGCCAACCCGCGAGGGGGAGCUAAUCCCAGAAAGCCGAUCGUAGUCCGGAUUGGAGUCUGCAACUCGACUCCAUGAAGUCGGAAUCGCUAGUAAUCGCGAAUCAGAAUGUCGCGGUGAAUACGUUCCCGGGUCUUGUACACACCGCCCGUCACACCAUGGGAGUCGUUUGCUCCAGAAGUCGGUGACCCAACCUUAGGGAGGGAGCCGCCGAAGGAGUGGACGGUGACUGGGGUGAAGUCG